This 379-nucleotide unclassified non-coding RNA is filed under the name uncultured bacterium. RNAcentral describes it as "contains 16S-23S intergenic spacer region". The record is from RNAcentral.
UCCCCGUUGUCCGGGGCAGUUUCUCUAGAGUGCCCAGCUUGACCUGAUGGCAACUAAAGAUAAGGGUUGCGCUCGUUGCGGGACUUAACCCAACAUCUCACGACACGAGCUGACGACAGCCAUGCAGCACCUGUGUCCCUGUCCCUUGCGGGAAACCGAACUUUCAUCCGGCGAUCAGGGCAUGUCAAGCCUAGGUAAGGUUCUUCGCGUUGCGUCGAAUUAAACCACAUGCUCCACCGCUUGUGCGGGCCCCCGUCAAUUCCUUUGAGUUUCAACCUUGCGGUCGUAGUUCCCAGGCGGAGUACUUAAUGCGUUAGCUGCGGCACAGAAGGGGUCAAUACCUCCUACACCUAGUACUCAUCGUUUAAGGCUAGGACUA